This 1854-nucleotide long non-coding RNA is filed under the name Heterocephalus glaber (naked mole-rat). RNAcentral describes it as "lncRNA (ENSHGLG00000045733.1)". Lineage: Eukaryota; Metazoa; Chordata; Mammalia; Rodentia; Bathyergidae. The record is from RNAcentral.
CCAACGUGUGGAAGGCCGAGUGGUCAGACUGGCUGGGCUCAGGUACAGCACCUGUCUAGCAGGUGCAAGGCCCCGGGUUCCUUCCUCUGUGCUGAGGAGGAGGAGGAGAGGAAGAAAGGGAAGGAGAAGGAGGGGGACCAGGAGGUGGCGUCCCUCAAAUGAUCUCUCCUGGGACUGUUACUUACUGCCUCUAUUGGGGUCUAACUGGUACUUGGUCAAAUGUGUCAAUUGUAGGCUCGGUACGAGGACCUCUUCCCGCGUCUACACCCGAGACUCCCAUCCGUUUUUUUCUUUCUUUUCCUGGUACUGGGACUUGAACUCAUGGCCUUGCACUUGCCAGGCAUGCACUGUUCCGCUGAGCUGCAUCCCUGGCCCUACCAGGACUCCCAUCUGAAUCAGGACUUGGACCUUGUGUGUCACAAGGGGGUCUGCUGGUGCCCUCUGCAGGCGCAACCCUCUCUCUGCAGUGAUCCCGGGGGUGGGGUGUAUCACUCAGCACAGGAGGAGGCUCCCAGGACGUGGGCUGUGAGCUGAACAAGUGAGCCGCAUAGGUGCUGUUGUGUCCGGCUGGCGCCCUUCCUCCACCAUGGAGCUUUGUGCACUCAGUGCCCCUCUGCUAGCCCAGAGGAUUCGUAUCCAUGCAAACACUGAUUGUCUGCCCACUCUGCCUCUCAUUAUCUCUAAUGCCCACACCGGAGCUGUUAGGACCAAUUGCAAACAUGCAGGGGCCAGGUCCAACUUCCCAGCCCCCUGAACAGAGUGGCUCUCCGGGCAUCACACCCAGAGUGACAGCGUCUGUGUGCACCAGCUGUCAGACCUGGGCCACCUGCUGGCACCAAAGACUCCUGUUUAUGGGGACAAUGGAGAAGGGCAACAGAGGAGUGAGGUGUGCGGAAGGGGUACCCUAAGAAGCAGGGGGCUGACUUGGUGGGAGCAGGAACCCAGCACCUCUUUCUGCAUCUCACUGAACUCUUUUCAUUAAAAACUGGAGCUUUCCAACUUCAGGUUAAGAUUUUCAUUUGCUGCUCUGUACAAUAAUUUGGAAAGUCAUUUUAGUUGGACUUCCUGGAGAGAAGGCUGCUUCUGCCAAUCCGCCAGGAGCAGGGGGCCGGGAAGGAGGAAAAGCUUUUAGGGUUUAGACCUUUGUCCUUCUUUCCUCACAUCCUGAAGACAACACCAACUAAUUCACAGGCAUCAAGCAAGCUUUGGAUUGUUGUGGGUGACACAGAGGAGGCAAAAAGCCAUUAUGACUGUAAUCGAAAUGAAUCUUCCAAACCACAUUGAAGAAGAAAUCGUCCUAUUUUCCACCCAGAGAGGUGCAAAGAAAAGAGAAUAGAUGCACGCAAGGCUUUCAGCCUGAGGUUGCAAAAGAUGUCUCUCAGCCCAGGAAAUGGGAUGAUCGUGAACAUCACCAAAUAGUGGCUGCGUUAUGGGAUGUUUCUUAGUGAGAGGUUCUGUGGUUGCACUUAAAAAACAAUUCCACGUUGAUACAGCUUUAGUUCUACAGAAUUCCAGCAAAGCAACUCGUGUGUGAGGCCCAGGCCAACUCCUGGGUCGCAGUGACUCCUGCUUGCAAUAUGGGGGUAAGGGGUGUUAGGCUUUAGGUGUCUUUCAGAGAACUUCCUUCAUGUUGCAGUGGCAUUUAAAAAACAUAUUUACUUUUGGGUUUCAGAGACAGGGUCUCACUACGAAGCCCAGGCUGCCCUUGAAUUUGUGGUGAUCCUCCUGCCUCAGCCUUCCCAGAGCUGGCAUUAUAGCAGUGUGCCACCACUCCCAGCUGUAAUGGCGUUUUAAAAAGUAGGAUUCGACCUGUCUCUGCAGUGUUCACUUUAGCAAUUACCAAAUAAAAGUUGU